AUUGAACGCUGGCGGCAGGCCUAACACAUGCAAGUCGAACGAGUGGCGGACGGGUGAGUAAUGUCUGGGAAACUGCCCGAUGGAGGGGGAUAACUACUGGAAACGGUAGCUAAUACCGCAUACCAUCGGAUGUGCCCACAUGGGAUAAGAUAGUAGGUGAGGUACAGGCUCACCUAGGCUCCGAUCCCUAGCUGGUCUGAGAGGAUGACCAGCAAGACGGUGAAUGUGACACGGUGCAGACUCCUACGGUAGGCAGCAGGGGGGAAUAUUGCACAAUGGGCGAAAACGUGAUGCAGCCAUGCCGCGGGUAUGAAGAAGGCCGUCGGGUUGUAAAGUACUUCCAGAAGAGAAGCGGUACCCGGAGGAGAAGCACCGGCUAACUCCGUGCCAGCAGCCGCGGUAAUUC
This 406-nucleotide ribosomal RNA is filed under the name uncultured bacterium. RNAcentral's name for it is "partial 16S ribosomal RNA". It matches the Rfam family "Bacterial small subunit ribosomal RNA", at positions 29 to 526 of the family's 1533-position model. The record is from RNAcentral.